GACGAACGCUGGCGGCGUGCUUAACACAUGCAAGUCAAGGGGAAUAGGGUAGCAAUAUCCUUAGUACACUGGCGCACGGGUGAGUAAAAUAUAAGUAACCUACCUCUAGAUAUGGGAUAACACUUCGAAAGAAAUGCUAAUACCGUAUAAUGCAGCGGCACCACAUGGUGAUGUUGUUAAAGUCGUAGUAGACGUCUAGAGAUGGGCUUGUAACUGAUUAGCUAGUUGGCGGGGUAACAGCCCACCAAGGCUACGAUCAGUAGCUGGUCUGAGAGGAUGAUCAGCCACACUGGAACUGAGACACGGUCCAGACUCCUACGGGAGGCAGCAGUGAGGAAUAUUGGGCAAUGCCCGAAAGGGUGACCCAGCAACGCCGCGUGAAGGAUGGAGGCCGUAAGGUUGUAAACUUCUUUUGUAUGGGACGAAAAGCUUGUUGAUAGCAAGCAUUGACGGUACCUUAAGAAAAGCCCCGGACUAACUACGUGCCAGCAGCCGCGGU
This 499-nucleotide ribosomal RNA is filed under the name uncultured bacterium. RNAcentral describes it as "bacterial SSU rRNA". It matches the Rfam family "Bacterial small subunit ribosomal RNA", at positions 28 to 521 of the family's 1533-position model. The record is from RNAcentral.